This is a non-coding RNA of Pelobates cultripes (western spadefoot toad), 1080 nucleotides long. The record is from the annotation of a GenBank genome assembly. Lineage: Eukaryota; Metazoa; Chordata; Amphibia; Anura; Pelobatidae.
CUCUCCCCAGCGGCAGCUUACCUUACCAAGGGGAGAAACCAAUCUCAAGUCCCCACAGCGUGUUUUCCCAUCACCCCAGGGGAAUACCCAGGUGCAGUCACUGUUUGCUUUAAAGCCAAAUACAUCAAAGAGUCAUAGUCACAGGGGAGGAGGCUGGCAAGCAGGCCUCUCCAGGACCAAGUGGCGAAGGGCACUUCGUCACAUAUCUCCCCUUCGGGUGGAAGACUAACCAGGCACCUGACCAGGUUUCUGCUCUGCUCCAGUCCUCCCGCCCCACCACCUGCUCCCUAGAUCCAAUUCCCUUGCUUCUCAUCCAUACUCUUUCUUCUUCUAUUUCUCCAACUCUCACUAAAAUUCUCAAUCUUUCUCUCUCCUCUGGUAUUUUUCCAUUUCCCUUCAAACGUGCAACUGUAACCCCAAUUGACCCUAACUCCCCAUCCAACUAUCGUCCUAUCUCGCUACUGCCUUUUGCAUCCAAGAUCCUUGGAAAAAAUUUGGCUUCCAAUAUCAUUUCUACGCAGAUGACAUGCAAAUCUACUUGUCCUCUCCUGAUCUCUCCCCGUCCCUCUUGACUAGUGUCUCUGACUGCCUCUCUGCUGUUUCUAACUGGAUGGCUGCCUACUUCCUUAAACUAAACUUGACCAAAACUGAAAUUCUGGUCUUUUCUCCCUCAAGUGUUGUUACUCCUGUGUCUGUCUCCCUCAAAGUCAACGGUGCUACCAUCAGCUCCACCACGCAGGCUGGCUGCCUAGGUGUUCUCUUUGACUCCGACCUCUCCUUCAAGCCUCAUGUUCAAUCUAUCGCCAAAUCCUGUCAUUUCCAUCUCGAAAACAUUGCAUCCGCCCCUACUUAAUGCCAGAUGCGACUAAGGUGUUGGUCCAUUCCACUGUCCUUUCUCGCCUUGACUACUGUAAUCCGCUUCUCAGUGGUCUUACGUGCUCCCAACUUGCGCCGUUACAGUCCAUAAUGAAUGCGGCGCCGAGGCUCAUCUUCCUGUCCGCCCGCACCUCUCAUGCCUCACCUUUCUGUCAGUCCUUACAUUGGCUUCCUAUAAAAUAUAGAGCUCAAUUUAAAAUUCUG